UACGUAGGGGGCUAGCGUUGUCCGGAAUCAUUGGGCGUAAAGCGCGUGUAGGCGGCCCGGUAAGUCCGCUGUGAAAGUCGGGGGCUCAACCCUCGGAAGCCGGUGGAUACUGUCGGGCUCGAGUACGGAAGAGGCGAGUGGAAUUCCUGGUGUAGCGGUGAAAUGCGCAGAUAUCAGGAGGAACACCUAUUGCGAAGGCAGCUCGCUGGGACGUUACUGACGCUGAGACGCGAAAGCGUGGGGAGCAAACAGG
This 253-nucleotide ribosomal RNA is filed under the name uncultured bacterium. Its description in RNAcentral is "partial 16S ribosomal RNA". It matches the Rfam family "Bacterial small subunit ribosomal RNA", at positions 524 to 776 of the family's 1533-position model. The record is from RNAcentral.